GCCUAUGCGGGGCGGGGCCCUGGCGCUAGCCAAUGGCAAAUGUUCUUUUCAGCUUCGCUAAUCCCCGUGGCCAGUUUGUAACUCCCUAGAGUCCAGCUGGAGCCUUCACUCGGUCCUUUGGCCCGCCCCGCCUUGUGGGGGCAGGUCUGGAGGUCUGAAGAGAGUUUGGGCUAAUCCAGGCCCCUUCCCGGCUCCCACCCAACCCCCACUGGCCCCAGGAGACCUGGCUGGAGAAGCCCAUGGGUUCUGAAACCUCCUUUCUCACAGUCUGUGCCCAAAGAUGCUGCCCACUCUUAGUCCGAGUAAGUGUUUGCCGUUUUGACUCUCCUGGGGUCCCAAGUCGUGUCCGGCCCGCCCCACCAGUCAGGAAGAUUCCAUACUGAGUAGGAAGGCAGAGCAAGGGUCUGGUCCCCCCACCACAAUGUGUUUGGAUCCCUAGUUCUUCACUGGCAAAAUCUGCCCUGUCUCUCACAAUAAUGUGAGUCUGAGCAGAAAAUAUUAAUAAUAAACCUAACACUCAUUGCACG
This is a long non-coding RNA of Homo sapiens (human), 527 nucleotides long. The record is from Ensembl. Lineage: Eukaryota; Metazoa; Chordata; Mammalia; Primates; Hominidae.